CCCUUGGUAGUUUAAUGGUAGAGCAUCUGACUGUAGAUAGAGUAGAUAUCAGAUAAUACUGGUUCGAUUCCAGUUCAGGGGA
RNAcentral lists this transfer RNA (82 nucleotides) under Hepatospora eriocheir. It matches the Rfam family "tRNA". From Rfam's summary of the family: Transfer RNA (tRNA) molecules are approximately 80 nucleotides in length. Their secondary structure includes four short double-helical elements and three loops (D, anti-codon, and T loops). Further hydrogen bonds mediate the characteristic L-shaped molecular structure. tRNAs have two regions of fundamental functional importance: the anti-codon, which is responsible for specific mRNA codon recognition, and the 3' end, to which the tRNAs corresponding amino acid is attached (by aminoacyl-tRNA synthetases). tRNAs cope with the degeneracy of the genetic code in two manners: having more than one tRNA (with a specific anti-codon) for a particular amino acid; and 'wobble' base-pairing, i.e. permitting non-standard base-pairing at the 3rd anti-codon position. Lineage: Eukaryota; Fungi; Microsporidia; Hepatosporidae. The record is from Rfam by way of RNAcentral.